This 329-nucleotide long non-coding RNA is filed under the name Prunus persica (peach). Its description in RNAcentral is "long non-coding RNA (PPER_LNC001662)". Lineage: Eukaryota; Viridiplantae; Streptophyta; Magnoliopsida; Rosales; Rosaceae. The record is from RNAcentral.
GAGUGUGCUUGUGGUGAUGGCGGUGGCCAUGGCGACGUUUGGGGAGUGUGGGUCGUCGCACCACGCGGCUCCGGCGCCGGCGGUGGACUGCUCGAGCCUGAUCUUGAACAUGGCGGACUGCUUGUCCUUUGUGUCUAAUGGGAGCACCGAUACAAAGCCCGCAGGGACUUGCUGCAGCGGCCUCAAGACCGUCCUCAAAGCUGACGCUGCCUGCCUCUGCGAGGCCUUCAAGAGCAGCGCUCAACUCGGCGUCGUUUUGAACAUUACCAAGGCCGCCUCCCUCCCCGCUGCCUGCAAAGUCUCUGCUCCUUCUGCCACCAACUGUGGAU